This 2826-nucleotide long non-coding RNA is filed under the name Equus asinus (donkey). Its description in RNAcentral is "lncRNA (ENSEASG00005035933.1)". The record is from RNAcentral. Lineage: Eukaryota; Metazoa; Chordata; Mammalia; Perissodactyla; Equidae.
GGCGACCUCCUGAGUGUAGCCUGAGCCGCAGCUGGAGGCUUGGUUGAGCGGCAUCCCCUCAUUGCAGUGUGCCCUCCUUCUCGGCCCCACCACCCUGCUUCCCUGGGGGCGGCUGUCUCUGUACAGGAGCAGAUGGGAAAAACAGUCCCCGGACUCGGCACCCCCAGCUCUCCCUGGCUCCAGCCCAUGCUCUAAAGUCCCUAGUGAGGGCUCAAGCCUGACAAGUCAUUCACCUUUUGCUUAAUCUUUUUUCUGCCCUCCCUGGUCUCAGCUCUGUCUAAACAAGGUCUUGGAGCUGUAGUGCUCCCCUUUAUUUUUCUUGGCACCAGAGUACCCCCUGUGGGUCACAGGAUGCCCAUACCUUUCGGGUGAACAGGCAACCAGCUUCCAUGCACCCUUAUCUGCAGGACUCCCAGCCAUCCUUGCUUGUUGAUGGGACCUCCUUCCCUAGGUCAUGAGGGCCAGCUCGUUAGCCCCCAAGUGCCUCCCUGUCCCUCUGCUGCUCUCUCCACUCAGUCCGCCUCAGGCACCCGGCCUGUUAGGUGGGAGUCAGCCUGGAGUGAGCGCUGCCUCUGCCCAGUCAGUGGCCCAGCCUUGGGGUCUGGCUCGGGGAGCUCCUGUCACCUUUCUUAGCCAUUUUCCACCUCUUCCCACCGUGGGUCCGCUUCCUCGCCUCUUCCUGCCGUUUCACCCUCUCCACCUGGGUCUUGGGCCUGGCAACAACCCUGUGGUGCGUCAUCUGAGUGCCACCAAGUUUGUUAGGCCUGUCCAAGUUCUAGGAGUUUCCAAACCUUAAAAUAGCAGUCAGUUAUUCUCUUCUCUCUGGAUCUGUGAAAAGGAUAGCCUCUUGGAGGGAGGUUCCGGGCCUCAGCCCCAUGGGUCUGAGCUCGGUUUCCCUUCAGGGAGAAGAAUCAGCAAGACAGAUCUUAGUGCCUUACUCCAUUGCCCUCCCCUCACCAGGCCACCUGGCUCAGUAGGAAGUACGCAUCUUUCUCCCUGUCUGGGUCCAUCUGUCACUUAAACUCUGUUCCCACUCACAGAUAGUCUAUGGGCAGGAUUACUCCCCCACAUGACCUCCCGACCCCUUCCUGCGGGCUGUGUCCAGGCACAUGUCUCCCCGCCCACCACCAGGGCACUCACUAGCAGCUUUAGCCGAGGACAGGAGAACUGUGCUUCAGACAGGUGCGCGUCUCUGCGUCUCACUACCCAGCAGGUCCCCUGCUUCUUACCUCUAGCCAGGAGGAUGCCACAGUCUGUUCACUCAAGAUGCUCCAUCUGACCCCCUUCUGGGCACUGGGGACUAAGGUCUCAGGCCUUAGUCUCAUCUCAUCCCAGAGGCAUUGGGACAGGAGAAUAGGAACUCUUUCCUCCCACCCGGACAUGGUUUGCCCACCUUGGCUGCCUUUCUGAGGGAGUGUAUUCAAUGUUUACUUAAGAAGUACCCUGUUUACAGCUGGAGGAGAAGUGUGCCCAACAGUGGGUGGAGCUCUGACUCUCUGGACAUGUAUGGCCUCAUGUAUGGCACGGCCAGUGGUGGUCCCAGAGCGAAUGAAGGCAGAGACGCCAGGGGCAGGGGUGCGCGCCCUGGACUUUCCCUGCCCCCUGGCCCUGCGGUGCUAAGACCACUCACCACCUUUCUCACAGCCCUCGUCCCCCUGGACGUUCCCACCUCUGUCAUUCCCUUCCUCCAAGGUUCUCAGCUCCUGAACAUAUCACUUGUCUCCUAGAAAGCCAGCGUUUGGAGCAAUAAGAUGAUUAUUUUUGCUUGAGUCUUUUUCUAAGAAAAGGAAAAGAGCUGGCAUUAUGGGAAUCUUCUUUCUUUUUAUGCUGUUGGCUGUUUACCUUCUUAGAAGACAGAUCUUAAUAGGAUGGAUGCCUGGGUUUCAGCCUUGGGGUAUCUUUUGGAAGCUUGGGAAAGCAAGAGUUGGGCUUUCACCCCCUAAGGAGGGGACCCUCUCUGCCCUCUCCUUGCUCCAUGCCAAGGCUGCCUGAGCUCCCAGCCCUGCCUGCCAGGUACACCUCCCACCUUUGAUCCUGCUCAUGCGCCCCACACACAGACAUCUGGGGGCACCGGUGGCUCUGAUUCUAAGUGGGGCUCUUGGGUUAUUGCUCCCCAAUGACUCUUUUCCCCUUCCUGGGCCUUAUGGCAGCCCCCAGGCAGAGAUGGCUACCAGAGUCUCCUAGGAACUGGCAACUUGACAACAGCCAAGCUUGCACUCAGCUCUUCAGGCCACCAGGAGGUGUGCCAGGAAGGUGGGCUGAUGUGAGCGUCUGCAGCCCUCACCAAGAGACGAAUCCACUGCCGCAAGUUCCCCGGAGCUCCCCUAGGAUUGCAGGGGUUGACAGAAAGGAGACCCCAGCUUCUUAUUGCAUGAGAGGCCACAGGACGAAAGGGGUUUAUUUAGGGACACUUUAAAGAAAUCUUUUGUGCCCCAGGGGCCUCUCUCCAUCAGAGCAGGAGAGUAUGUUGCAACGAUUUAACAUUCGUGUGGGGCCAACUUGGGUGUGAGGGAGGUUUUAACCGAGGCACAAAGUUAGUUUCAAAUACUAGUUAAUAAAUCUAUUUUUCUUUAUUUUCUUUUUUUGCACAGAAGCUGGUAAUCUAGGACCUACGUGUGAACAACUUUAUAUGAAUAUUUUUUGUACUUGGUUUACUUGGGUUGGUAUGAUACAUUAUAUUUAAGUUCCUUGAACACUGUGGAUCCCCCUAAUGUGUAUGGAUGACUGAGGCUUUGUAAAUUAAGGGACGUUUGUGUGAAUAAAGUUAUUUUAUGGGGUCAAAGAAGCCAUAUGUGAUUUGAAAACGAGUGCAUUGUGAUUUUGUUG